Molecule: small RNA, 292 nt
Filed under: Oceaniovalibus guishaninsula JLT2003
Lineage: Bacteria; Pseudomonadati; Pseudomonadota; Alphaproteobacteria; Rhodobacterales; Roseobacteraceae
Description: 5' ureB small RNA
Rfam family: 5' ureB small RNA
Source: Rfam by way of RNAcentral
CAGUUGCAGCAUCUGCGGCCCGACGAAGUGGACAUGCGUAUCCACCGCGCCGGCCGUGGCGAUCAGGCCAUUGCCCGACAUGAUCUCGGUCGAGGGGCCGAUGACGAGGGCGGGGUCGAUGCCGUCCAUCGUGUCGGGGUUGCCGGACUUGCCGAUGCCGACGAUGCGCCCGUCGCGCACGCCGAUAUCGGCCUUGAUGACGCCCCAGUGGUCGAGGAUCACGGCGCCGGUGAUGACGAGGUCGGGCGUGCCCUCGGCGCGCGUCGCGGCGGACUGGCCCAUCGAUUCGCGG